This 250-nucleotide small RNA is filed under the name Cryptosporidium parvum. The record is from RNAcentral. Lineage: Eukaryota; Apicomplexa; Conoidasida; Eucoccidiorida; Cryptosporidiidae.
AGGCUUAUUGAGGAUACUAAAUUGGAAUUCUCUAUUUUAUUUUAAUGCUUAUUUUGAAAUGAUAUUGAGGACAGAACAGAUUUCAAGUUUGAGGGAUUGAUGUCAAGUUGGUUUAAGUGAUGAAUUAAAAUUACAUGUUAGGUUUGAAAAUCUUUUUAGUGAAAUAAAAGGAAUUCUGAUAAUCUUCUUGACUUUUCUCUUGCUAUUACUAGCUAACUUGAAGUUAAAGCAUCUUAAGUCCUUAGUACAG